GCCGGGCGUGGUAGCGCAUGCCUGUAGUCCUAGCUACUAGGGAGGCUGAGGCAGGAGAAUUGCUUGAACCCAGGAAGGGAGGUUGCAGUAAGCCGAGAUUGUACCACUGUACUCUAGCCUGGGUGACAAAGCAAGACCCCGUCUCAA
Molecule: non-coding RNA, 147 nt
Filed under: Homo sapiens (human)
Lineage: Eukaryota; Metazoa; Chordata; Mammalia; Primates; Hominidae
Source: Rfam by way of RNAcentral